This 1561-nucleotide long non-coding RNA is filed under the name Salmo salar (Atlantic salmon). RNAcentral describes it as "lncRNA (ENSSSAG00000086705.1)". Lineage: Eukaryota; Metazoa; Chordata; Actinopteri; Salmoniformes; Salmonidae. The record is from RNAcentral.
AUGUUAAAGUAUACAUUAUGACUAUGGAGGUUAAAGUGCAGACUGUCAGCUUUCAUUAGAGUGUAUUUUCAUUCAUAUCGGGUAAACCGUUUAGAAAGUACAGCACUUUCUGUACCUAGUCCCCCCCAAUGACUACUUUAAUACACAUAUAAGUGAAUUUCUCCCAGUACUUUUGGUCCCCUAAAAUGGGUGGGAGGAUUAUGUAAAAAAAAUAAAAUGCUUUAAUUUCUAAACAGUUCACCUGAUAUGGAUAGAAUAAAUACCCUCAAAUUAAUACUGACAGACAGCACUUUACCCUCAUAGUCAUUCUAUCAGAGCCAAAACAACAAAUGUGUCGCUGUCCCAAUACUUUUGGAGCUCGGUGAUGUACAUGCAGAUUCCAUGUACGUGAAACGUAGAACUAAUAGUAGUAUAUGAAUUGAAUACUAGAUAAUUCUCUUCCCGACAAGUCUUGGAUUUGAUUUCCUCUCCAACAUGACGACACGGUCUGAAGUUUCCUGUUUAUGUGAAUGGAAAAGCUUCUCUCACCAAAGGCUCCAUCUGAAAUCUACCCGGCGACGUAGACACUGAGUGGACAAAACAUUAGGAACACCUUCCUAAUAUUCACUUGCACCCCCCCCCUCCUUUUGCCCUCAGAACAGCCUCAAUUCAUUCAUCAGGGGGUAUGGGACUCUACGAGGUGUCGAAAGCGUUCCCACAGGGAUGCUGGCCCCAUGUAGACUCUCAGAGCCCUAUUCCCUAUAUAGUGGUACUACUAUAGACCUGAGCCCUAUUCCCUAUAUAGUGGUACUACUAUAGACCAGAGCCCUAUUCCCUAUAUAUGGUACUACUAUAGACCAGAGCCCUAUUCCCUAUAUAGUGCACUACUAUAGACCCAGAGCCCUAUUCCCUAUAUAGUGGUACUACUAUAGACCAGAGCCCUAUUCCCUAUGUAGUGCACUACUAUAGACCAGAGCCCUAUUCCCUAUAUAGUGCACUUCUAUAGACCAGAGCCCUAUUCCCUAUAUAGUGGUACUACUAUAGACCCAGAGCCCUAUUCCCUAUAUAGUGCACUACUUUUGACCUGAGCCCCCAUAAGGAAUAAGGGGUCAUUCAUUCGUUCAUUCGCCUGUCUUAUCAUUGUUUCUUCAUGUCAAUAACAGUUUUGUUUUUAACGUUUCUCAUCAAGACAGCGAGUGAUUGUGUUAGCUGUGUCUGUGCAGAAUAAAACUGUAUGGGAGGGGUGGCUGUCUCUGUUAUAAAGCUACUUUAUGUAUAGUUAACAUAUAUACAUACUUAGUGCCUUCGGACAGUAUCCCCCCCCCCCUCUCCUUGACUUAAUCUACAUUUUGUUUUAAAGAAAUUGAAAUGGAUUUGAAAUGUGUUAUUUUAUUUUUUUUGGGGUCACACUACCCCACAAUCAUAAUGUCAAAGUGGAAUUGUGUUUUAAAAAAUGUUUACGAAUGAAUAAAAAUUAAAAAAAGGGAAAAGCUGAAAUGUCUUGAGUCAAUUAAGUUUUCAACUCCUUUGUUAUGUCAAACCUGCAUAAGUUCAGGAGUGAAAAUGUGCUUAACAAGUCAUA